RNAcentral lists this ribosomal RNA (434 nucleotides) under uncultured Oscillospiraceae bacterium. Its description in RNAcentral is "bacterial SSU rRNA". It matches the Rfam family "Bacterial small subunit ribosomal RNA", at positions 341 to 792 of the family's 1533-position model. Lineage: Bacteria; Bacillati; Bacillota; Clostridia; Eubacteriales; Oscillospiraceae. The record is from RNAcentral.
ACGGAAGGCAGCAGUGGGGAAUAUUGGGCAAUGGGGGAAACCCUGACCCAGCAACGCCGCGUGAAGGAAGAAGGCCUUCGGGUUGUAAACUUCUUUUACCAGGGACGAUAAUGACGGUACCUGGAGAAAAAGCAACGGCUAACUACGUGCCAGCAGCCGCGGUAAUACGUAGGUUGCAAGCGUUGUCCGGAUUUACUGGGUGUAAAGGGCGUGUAGGCGGAGCUGCAAGUCAGAUGUGAAAUCCCGGGGCCCAACCCCGGAACUGCAUUUGAAACUGUAGCCCUUGAGUAUCGGAGAGGCAAGCGGAAUUCCUAGUGUAGCGGUGAAAUGCGUAGAUAUUAGGAGGAACACCAGUGGCGAAGGCGGCUUGCUGGACGACAACUGACGCUGAGGCGCGAAAGCGUGGGGAGCAAACAGGAUUAGAUACCCUGGUA